CCUACGGGAGGCAGCAGUAGGGAAUUUUCCACAAUGAGCGAAAGCCUGAUGGAGCAACGCCGCGUGCGUGAAGAAGGUCUUCGGAUCGUAAAGUCCUGUUGUUAGAGAAGAAAGUGCGUGAGAGGAAAUGAUCACGUAUCGACGGUACCUUACCAGAAAGCGAUGGCUAACUACGUGCCAGCAACCGCGGUAAUACGUAGGUGGCAAGCGUUAUCCGGAUUUAUUGGGCGUAAAGGGAACGAAGGCGGUUUUGUAAGUCUGAGGGGAAAACCCUCGGGUUAAACGGCGGAGCGCAUUGGAAACUGGGAAACUAGAGUGAGAAAGAGGUGAGUGGAACUCCAUGUGUAGCGGUGAAAUGCGUAGAUAUAUGGAAGAACACCAGAGGCGAAAGCAGCUCUCUGGUCCGUAACUGACGCUGAGGGACGAAAGCGUGGGGAGCAAACAGGAUUAGAUACCCUUGUAGUC
RNAcentral lists this ribosomal RNA (465 nucleotides) under uncultured bacterium. RNAcentral's name for it is "partial 16S ribosomal RNA". It matches the Rfam family "Bacterial small subunit ribosomal RNA", at positions 338 to 795 of the family's 1533-position model. The record is from RNAcentral.